RNAcentral lists this ribosomal RNA (627 nucleotides) under bacterium CC30. RNAcentral describes it as "bacterial SSU rRNA". It matches the Rfam family "Bacterial small subunit ribosomal RNA", at positions 337 to 954 of the family's 1533-position model. The record is from RNAcentral.
UCCUACGGGNNGCAGCAGUGGGGAAUAUUGGACAAUGGGCGCAAGCCUGAUCCAGCCAUGCCGCGUGUGUGAAGAAGGCCUUAUGGUUGUAAAGCACUUUAAGCGAGGAGGAGGCUACUUUAGUUAAUACCUAGAGAUAGUGGACGUUACUCGCAGAAUAAGCACCGGCUAACUCUGUGCCAGCAGCCGCGGUAAUACAGAGGGUGCAAGCGUUAAUCGGAUUUACUGGGCGUAAAGCGCGCGUAGGCGGCUAAUUAAGUCAAAUGUGAAAUCCCCGAGCUUAACUUGGGAAUUGCAUUCGAUACUGGUUAGCUAGAGUGUGGGAGAGGAUGGUAGAAUUCCAGGUGUAGCGGUGAAAUGCGUAGAGAUCUGGAGGAAUACCGAUGGCGAAGGCAGCCAUCUGGCCUAACACUGACGCUGAGGUGCGAAAGCAUGGGGAGCAAACAGGAUUAGAUACCCUGGUAGUCCAUGCCGUAAACGAUGUCUACUAGCCGUUGGGGCCUUUGAGGCUUUAGUGGCGCAGCUAACGCGAUAAGUAGACCGCCUGGGGAGUACGGUCGCAAGACUAAAACUCAAAUGAAUNNNCGGGGGCCCNCACNAGCGGUGGAGCAUGUGGUUUUAAUUCGA